Molecule: ribosomal RNA, 418 nt
Filed under: uncultured bacterium
Lineage: Bacteria
Description: partial 16S ribosomal RNA
Rfam family: Bacterial small subunit ribosomal RNA
Source: RNAcentral
UGGGGAAUUUUGGACAAUGGGCGAAAGCCUGAUCCAGCAAUGCCGCGUGUGUGAAGAAGGCCUUCGGGUUGUAAAGCACUUUUGUCCGGAAAGAAAUCCUUGGCUCUAAUACAGUCGGGGGAUGACGGUACCGGAAGAAUAAGCACCGGCUAACUACGUGCCAGCAGCCGCGGUAAUACGUAGGGUGCAAGCGUUAAUCGGAAUUACUGGGCGUAAGCGUGCGCAGGCGGUUUGCUAAGACCGAUGUGAAAUCCCCGGGCUCAACCUGGGAACUGCAUUGGUGACUGGCAGGCUAGAGUAUGGCAGAGGGGGUAGAAUUCCACGUGUAGCAGUGAAAUGCGUAGAGAUGUGGAGGAAUACCGAUGGCGAAGGCAGCCCCCUGGGCCAAUACUGACGCUCAUGCACGAAAGCGUGGGGA